GCCGCCAUAGCUCAAUGGUAGAGCGUAAACAAAAGCAAGGUGAUCUUCGGUGCUUUUGUUUGAGAUGUAGGUUCGAUUCCUGCUGGGGGCG
Molecule: transfer RNA, 91 nt
Filed under: Moraxella caviae
Lineage: Bacteria; Pseudomonadati; Pseudomonadota; Gammaproteobacteria; Moraxellales; Moraxellaceae
Rfam family: tRNA
About the family: Transfer RNA (tRNA) molecules are approximately 80 nucleotides in length.
Source: Rfam by way of RNAcentral